RNAcentral lists this ribosomal RNA (425 nucleotides) under uncultured bacterium. Its description in RNAcentral is "partial 16S ribosomal RNA". It matches the Rfam family "Bacterial small subunit ribosomal RNA", at positions 354 to 796 of the family's 1533-position model. The record is from RNAcentral.
GUGGGGAAUAUUGGGCAAUGGGGGAAACCCUGACCCAGCAACGCCGCGUGAAGGAAGAAGGUUUUCGGAUCGUAAACUUCUAUCCUUGGUGAAGAUAAUGACGGUAGCCAAGAAGGAAGCCCCGGCUAACUACGUGCCAGCAGCCGCGGUAAUACGUAGGGGGCAAGCGUUGUCCGGAAUGAUUGGGCGUAAAGGGCGCGUAGGCGGCCUGGUAAGUCUGGAGUGAAAGUCCUGCUUUUAAGGUGGGAAUUGCUUUGGAUACUGUCGGGCUUGAGUGCAGGAGAGGUAAGCGGAAUUCCCGGUGUAGCGGUGAAAUGCGUAGAGAUCGGGAGGAACACCAGUGGCGAAGGCGGCUCACUGGCUCGAUACUGACGCUGAGGUGCGAAAGCGUGGGGAGCAAACAGGAUUAGAAACCCGGGUAGUCC